Pseudophryne corroboree (corroboree frog) is the source of this 983-nucleotide long non-coding RNA. RefSeq lists it as uncharacterized. Lineage: Eukaryota; Metazoa; Chordata; Amphibia; Anura; Myobatrachidae. The transcript is spliced from 2 exons. The record is from RefSeq and is a predicted model, not a curated record.
GGGUGAGCAAGCCCGGCAGAGUGGAGGAUCUUCUGGUGCGACCGCAGGUCUGAGCAGGUUGGCGGCAGCUAGCAGAGAUUAGUGAGAGAGAGAGAAGCGGCUCCGCUCACCUGCUGUGGAGAGACGCCGGUGAGAUAACAGACAGCGUCGGCGCUGAGGUCCGGAGCCUAAGCGGCAGCAGUAGUUAGAUGGCACCCGGAGAUCGCAGGUAGUUUAUGCGCAUCCCUGCACUGCUGUUAGGCUGGGAACAGGAAGGAGGAAGAGAGUCGGUCGGGGGAGAGCCAGAUGACUGCAUAGCAACCGCGGCUAGUAAGCCAUAGAAUAUCAGCAAGUCAUGUAAUCGAUCAGUGAAGAGUCAUCUCUCAAUGAGAGAGAAUGGAGAGAAGAAAGAAAAGGAGAAAGAGGAAAAAGAAAAAAAAAAGGGGGAAGAGGGGUGAAUAGAGCGAGAAAGAGAGGAGGGGGAAGGAUCGCCUGCGGCCCAAUGACUCCCAGUCAGGUAAGUAUUUUAUCCCAAUUGAAUGGGAGGGUCUGUUUUUUACAUUUAUUAACUCCCCACCCACUGCCCAUGAGGUGGGCAGUGGGUGGGAUCCCACACUGUGGUUCCCCGUUAUAGUGCACCAGCACUGACUGUUAAUGUCUAGAGACGGUAAUGGAAACCUCGGGAACCCCCACUCUUUGUACCCCCAAUUCUUCCAAUACCAGUGUUAUGAGUGCUUACCGUGACUUUGAAUUUACAGAACCCACUUCUCCUAUAACAGCCCCCUUUCCUGGAACUAUAAUUGGAUGUCAGGACUUCAAUUCUUAGUAGUGUAAGCUCAAGAUCACAGACACAUUUAAAGAGAACAGGACACCUUAGAGAUUACUAAAACUUUAUACAGAAAACAGCAUGCCAGGUCUUUUAUAUAGCACUAAUUAAUGUUUUGCUGGACAAUUCUCUCACAUAAUAUAAGUCUUUUUCAAAAUAGAGAAUUACUGAGAAGUAA